Corticium candelabrum is the source of this 512-nucleotide long non-coding RNA. RefSeq lists it as uncharacterized. NCBI's taxonomy places the organism in Eukaryota, Metazoa, Porifera, Homoscleromorpha, Homosclerophorida, Plakinidae. The record is from RefSeq and is a predicted model, not a curated record. The transcript is spliced from 3 exons.
UGCGCACGCGUGCUGAAUGAUGUCAUAGUCGCCGUUUGUUGUUGUUCAUCCUUCAUGCAUACAGUAGGCGUACUCUUUCUGUAGGUAUAUCGUAAACGUUUAAUUCCUAUAAAAUUUAGUGGUGGUGAGACAUUUAUUCAAGAGGAAUUUUACAAGAGCUGAACUGAGCUUCUGAAAGAAGUGCAAUGCGAGAUGUUUAUUGCUAACAAUCCAACUAAAACAAAAGAACUCCUGUUUACUAUGAUUGAGUCACCAGAACUGUCGUCUAUCCCGUGUCCUCUGUUUACCCAAAAUGUGUGUCCUGAACACUUCGUGGCAAUGUAUGAGCGAAUUUCCAAAACGUUUAAUAGCUCUGGCACAGUAGAAGCAUUCUCAGCGUUAUCAAAGGGCGGAACCUGUGAAUUACGACAACCCGACGGACUGUCCUCAACUGCCCCUGAUUCUCAGGUGGUCCCAGUUAUCACACUGGCAUUUGUACAUGUACACCAAUUCGUGUACACCAUGUUUUUGUA